Nelumbo nucifera (sacred lotus) is the source of this 609-nucleotide non-coding RNA. NCBI's taxonomy places the organism in Eukaryota, Viridiplantae, Streptophyta, Magnoliopsida, Proteales, Nelumbonaceae. The record is from RefSeq and is a predicted model, not a curated record.
CUGGAGUCCGGAAUGAGUCACUCUAAACCAUUUCUUCUGUAUACACUCUUAAACCUUUCCUUCUCCACCUAUUUCUAAUUAGACAUUGUUGGCAGGUGAAUGGCGUGGGCGUGGAAAGAAGGCUCGGAAGUCAUACGGAUUCGGAAGCGGCACGGGCACGAAGAAUGCUCGACUUGCGGGCAAGAUGCGCAACCUCUCGCGACAAUACUAUAAGGAAGCCGACCAACUCUUCGGUGAGAUUGCAUCCGCAGAGCUGAUUCAAGCGUUCGAAUUGUAGCAGUGAUCAGCCAAAGCUUCGCAUACGCUGGAGUCCAGAAUGAGCCAUUUUAACCCAUUUCUUCUUUAUUCUCGCUUAGACUUUUUUCUUCUCCACCUGUUUCCGACUAGAAAUUCUUGACAGGUGAAUGGCGUGGGCGCGGAAAGGAGACUCGGAAGUGAUACGGAUUCGGAAGCGGCACAGGCACGAAGAAUGCUCGACUUGCGGGCAAGAUGAGCAACCUCUCGCGGCAAUACUAUAAGGAAGCCGAUCAACUCUUCGACUUUUAGAUUGCUCGAGGCGUUGCAAAUUUUGGGGAUAGGCUUGCCAACUCCUGUCCCUUACCAUUGAUU